RNAcentral lists this ribosomal RNA (122 nucleotides) under Oncorhynchus kisutch (coho salmon). The record is from RNAcentral. Lineage: Eukaryota; Metazoa; Chordata; Actinopteri; Salmoniformes; Salmonidae.
GCUUACGACCACACCGGCCUGAGUACGCCUGAUCUCGUCUGAUCUCGGAAGCUAAUGCAUGGGUCGGGCCUGGUUAGUACUUGGAUGGGAGAACCGCCUGGGAAUACCAGGUGCUGUAAGCU